AUGAGAAUGAGGCUGCGUCACCCAAUGCCAGUAGAUUCCACUGAGUCUUGAAGGGAGGGACACAGACACAGCCACAGCCACAAGAGAAUACUUCUGAGCAUCCUUCUCCUUCAAGGUCUGCUAUCCUUCCCAAACCACAGGAACCGGAAUCAGACCUUCUAUAACACAGUGCCACAGAGCAAACACGAACAAGGACAGGAAGUGACAUCAAUGGAGCAGAACGACAAGGGCACAUUGGAAACUGAGAAACAGCAAAUGAAUGGUCAAACAGAAGAAGCACCUCAAGAGACGACCACACCUGAAGAGCCGGCUAAUGUAAGUGAGAAUAAUUCAGAUAAAAAUGAUCAAGAAAUGCAUGAGAGCAAUGCAGAAAAGAAUGAAGAAGAAAUAAGUGUGAAUAAUGGAGAUCAGAAUGAAGAGGAAAAUGUGAAGGAAGAAGAGGAAGAAGAGGAUGAAUUGGCUGAUGGUUUCCAGACUUCGGUCGAGAUGUCAAUCCGGCAAUUUGAGAAGGAUGAAAAUAACCGCCCUAUUUGCAGGUACAACACUGUCAGCUACAGGAAGAUUAAGAAAGGAAACACAAAGCAGAGAAUAGAUGAGUUUGAGUCCAUGCUGGAUGUAUAACAGUGAUGAAUGUCGUCAGAGACACAUACUGUACGUAAGAACUGAGUGGCGUCAUCAUGUAUGUUUUGUAUGUGGAUCCUUCAAAAGUAUGUGACUGUUAAACUUCUUUAUAUAGUUAAAAGGUUUAACACACAAUGGCAUGAACAGUAUUUUGUCACAGCCUAAUUUUGGCCUGUAUCACAUUUUUAAAGAAAUCAGUAGUUGUAGAAAUAAUAUUUUGUAGAAAUCUUUAAAGCAUUCAGAAAACAGGUUUUAAAUAACCCAUCAUCUGGCAGCGAGCCGAAAAAACAACAACAUUUAUUUGUCUACAAAUGAGAUUUUUCAUUCAUGAAUGCUCCUUCAAAUAACACACAGUCUGUCUGACUAAUGCAGGCCUGAUCUCUACUGUGCUGCCAAAUCACCAUUAAUGAAUUACUGGAAGAACUUACAGUUACAGUAAGCAUACAGUAUGAAGGGCAUUAUUGUAUUCCUGUUCAAAAAUUGUAUUGUAAUGUAAAGCUACCAGCUUUCUAAUGUUGAUUAUGAUUAUGGUUACAUGGCUUUGUAAAACAUGCUCACAAGUUUUAAAAUACAACAACAAUAGUCAGCAGUUUUUCAUUUCCAUUUUCAGAUUUGUAUAUGUAAUACAUGCAUAUAGGGAUACUGUGAUUAUAUCUUUGGACAAUUAGAAGUUUUCAUUGUUUUCUAUAAUGACAUAAUGCUACUUGAUAUCUGCCACACUAAACUGAAUUCAUGUAACCUGUUCAAGUUGUUAAGGCUUCCUUUUUCUCUGAAUGCACAAUUUUUUUCUUUAUUUUCAUUUAUUGAGGACGAAUAAAA
Cyprinus carpio carpio is the source of this 1440-nucleotide long non-coding RNA. NCBI's taxonomy places the organism in Eukaryota, Metazoa, Chordata, Actinopteri, Cypriniformes, Cyprinidae. The record is from Ensembl.